UGGGGAAUAUUGGACAAUGGGGGCAACCCUGAUCCAGCCAUGCCGCGUGAGUGAUGACGGCCUUAGGGUUGUAAAGCUCUUUCGCUAGGGACGAUAAUGACGGUACCUAGACAAGAAGCCCCGGCUAACUUCGUGCCAGCAGCCGCGGUAAUACGAAGGGGGCUAGCGUUGUUCGGAAUUACUGGGCGUAAAGCGCGUGUAGGCGGGCUUUUAAGUCAGGGGUGAAAUGCCAAGGCUCAACCUUGGAACUGCCUUUGAUACUGGAAGUCUUGAGUCCGGGAGAGGUGAGUGGAACUGCGAGUGUAGAGGUGAAAUUCGUAGAUAUUCGCAAGAACACCAGUGGCGAAGGCGGCUCACUGGCCCGGAACUGACGCUGAGACGCGAAAGCGUGGGGAGCAAACAGGAUUAGAUACCCUGGUAGUCCACGCUGUAAACGAUGGAUGCUAGCCGUUGGGGAGCUUGCUCUUCAGUGGCGCAGCUAACGCUUUAAGCAUCCCGCCUGGGGAGUACGGUCGCAAGA
This 520-nucleotide ribosomal RNA is filed under the name uncultured bacterium. RNAcentral describes it as "bacterial SSU rRNA". It matches the Rfam family "Bacterial small subunit ribosomal RNA", at positions 355 to 893 of the family's 1533-position model. The record is from RNAcentral.